AUAAAAUAGAUCUAAACUAAAACUAAAUUAUUUGAAAGUUAAUGUGUUGGGAGUAUGUUAUUUUAAAAUAUAUAUGUGAUUAGAUUAAUAUUCUUUGUCAACCAUACUGACAUAAUUAAUAUCUAACAAAGGGUUUAAACAAUCCCUUAUAGUUAACCCCUCCCCCAUUCAGUGGAUCAGUCCAAGUGAGCAGGAAGAGGAAAUGCUUUUUUUUUUUUUUGUUUCAGCCAAAGUAGCAUUUGAGAUACGGAGCAGAGGAUAGAUGGUCAAAUUAAACCAAUACCUGUAGUGGUUACAAUCCUGCUGCUAGUUGCCAAAAGAAAAUUCUUGGCCAGGUCUUCGUCAUCAUCAUCAUCAUCGUCAUCAUCUUCAUCGGUUCUUCGCUUUUUUUUUUUUUUUUGUCGGCUAUCCCUUACGUCCUUACUUCAUCCUGGGUGUCCUCAGCGGUGGUGCGGAUUUUACGAGACGAGACAUUGGAGUCUUCAGCCCAGCCUGCUCUGUUAUAGAGAAUUGUCUGGUCCUGGAGUGGCGAGCCAACCCUAUGAGCCUUCAAACGAGGAGAUAUUGAAAUAGAGGGAGAAAAGUGGUAGGACAGUUACAUUUCGCUUGCCCCACAACAAGUUUGAAGAAAACAGACAUUGUUACGUUACACUUUAAUGCUCAAAGAAUACAACACCGCAAUGGAUGGAUUCUCCCAGUAACUCACUGAACUGAACUUUUGGUCAUUUUCCUUAUUAAUACUAUAGUGAUUGAUUUGUCAUUGAGGUUAUAGUUCUAGACUGUGUUCAGUUAUAUCAUCACUCUGACGGUUACAGGAAAAGCACAGGUUCAUGUGAUUGGUGACCUUGAGGUUCAUGUGAUUCAUUUUCAUGUUUAUAUAUAUAUGGUAGUUUAUUGAUAUUUGAUUUGGGUUAUACAAAGAAAAGUGUACCAAAAUAUUUAGAGAAUCCGCUUGUGUGGUUAGAGGCACUAUAAAAUAGGAGCUUAAACAUUAAUAUAGAUGAAUACAAAUUAAUGAGUGCCUGACUAAUAAUAUGGAGCUAGCAUAGCAUUAGGCUACAUCUUGAAUCUAUAUAGGGAUAUUGAACCAACUAAGUACUCACUUGACAAGUGGAUUCUUAACCAGAUUUAAUGAAAUUUAACAGAAAAAGUAAAAGGGUGUUUAUGGUGGUUCUGUGUAUAAUGUGAUGUUGCACCUGUGAUAUUUUGAGAAGAAUACUGUUCUAAAAAGAAAAUAUACACAAGAAAACCGGUUGAAUGAGAGAGAAUUAAAGUUUAUUUCCUUACCUCUUCAAACGUA
Molecule: long non-coding RNA, 1300 nt
Organism: Perca flavescens (yellow perch)
Lineage: Eukaryota; Metazoa; Chordata; Actinopteri; Perciformes; Percidae
Exons: 2
Source: RefSeq, a predicted model, not a curated record